Podarcis lilfordi (Lilford's wall lizard) is the source of this 100-nucleotide non-coding RNA. Lineage: Eukaryota; Metazoa; Chordata; Lepidosauria; Squamata; Lacertidae. The record is from the annotation of a GenBank genome assembly.
GAGUGCCCCUCUCUCUCUCUCUCUCUCUCUCUCUCUCUCUCUGUGUGUGUGUGUGUGUGUGAGAGAGAGAGAGAGAGAGAGAGAGAGAGAAACCAAGCUG